Molecule: ribosomal RNA, 253 nt
Filed under: uncultured bacterium
Lineage: Bacteria
Description: partial 16S ribosomal RNA
Rfam family: Bacterial small subunit ribosomal RNA
Source: RNAcentral
UACGAAAGGUGCAAGCGUUAAUCGGAAUUACUGGGCGUAAAGCGCGCGUAGGCGGUGUGUUAAGUCGGAUGUGAAAGCCCAGGGCUCAACCUUGGAACUGCAUCCGAUACUGGCACGCUAGAGUGCAGUAGAGGGAGGUGGAAUUUCCGGUGUAGCGGUGAAAUUCGUAGAUAUUGGAAAGAACACCAGUGGCGAAGGCGGCUCACUGGCUCGGUACUGACGCUGAGGAGCGACAGCGUGGGGAGCAAACAGG